Molecule: ribosomal RNA, 505 nt
Filed under: uncultured bacterium
Lineage: Bacteria
Description: partial 16S ribosomal RNA
Rfam family: Bacterial small subunit ribosomal RNA
Source: RNAcentral
GACGAACGCUGGCGGCGUGCCUAAUACAUGCAAGUAGAACGCACAGUUUAUACCGUAGCUUGCUACACCAUAGACUGUGAGUUGCGAACGGGUGAGUAACGCGUAGGUAACCUGCCUGGUAGCGGGGGAUAACUAUUGGAAACGAUAGCUAAUACCGCAUAAUAUUGAUUAUUGCAUGAUAAUUGAUUGAAAGAUGCUAUUGCAUCACUACCAGAUGGACCUGCGUUGUAUUAGCUAGUAGGUGAGGUAACGGCUCACCUAGGCGACGAUACAUAGCCGACCUGAGAGGGUGAUCGGCCACACUGGGACUGAGACACGGCCCAGACUCCUACGGGAGGCAGCAGUAGGGAAUCUUCGGCAAUGGACGAAAGUCUGACCGAGCAACGCUGCGUGAGUGAAGAAGGGUUUCGGAUCGUAAAGCUCUGUUGUAAGAGAAGAACGGGUGUGAGAGUGGAAAGUUCACACUGUGACGGUAUCUUACCAGAAAGGGACGGCUAACUACGUG